GGGGAAUAUUGGACAAUGGGGGCAACCCUGAUCCAGCCAUGCCGCGUGUGUGAAGAAGGCCUUUUGGUUGUAAAGCACUUUAAGCAGGGAGGAGAGGCUAAUGGUUAAUACCCAUUAGAUUAGACGUUACCUGCAGAAUAAGCACCGGCUAACUCUGUGCCAGCAGCCGCGGUAAUACAGAGGGUGCGAGCGUUAAUCGGAAUUACUGGGCGUAAAGCGAGUGUAGGUGGCUCAUUAAGUCACAUGUGAAAUCCCCGGGCUUAACCUGGGAACUGCAUGUGAUACUGGUGGUGCUAGAAUAUGUGAGAGGGAAGUAGAAUUCCAGGUGUAGCGGUGAAAUGCGUAGAGAUCUGGAGGAAUACCGAUGGCGAAGGCAGCUUCCUGGCAUAAUAUUGACACUGAGAGUCGAAAGCGUGGGUAGCAAAC
RNAcentral lists this ribosomal RNA (426 nucleotides) under uncultured bacterium. RNAcentral's name for it is "bacterial SSU rRNA". It matches the Rfam family "Bacterial small subunit ribosomal RNA", at positions 356 to 773 of the family's 1533-position model. The record is from RNAcentral.